RNAcentral lists this small RNA (574 nucleotides) under Pongo abelii (Sumatran orangutan). RNAcentral describes it as "retained intron". Lineage: Eukaryota; Metazoa; Chordata; Mammalia; Primates; Hominidae. The record is from RNAcentral.
AGGAUGAUGCUGAAAGGAAUAACAAGGCUUAUCUCUAGGAUCCAUAAGUUGGACCCUGGGCGUUUUUUACACAUGGGGACCCAGGCUCGCCAAAGCAUUGCUGCUCACCUAGAUAACCAGGUUCCAGUUGAGAGUCUGAGAGCUAUUUCCCGCACCAAUGAGAAUGACCCGGCCAAGCAUGGGGAUCAGCACGAGGGUCAGCACUACAACAUCUCCCCCCAGGAUUUGAAGACUGUAUUUCCCCAUGGCCUUCCUCCUCGCUUUGUGAUGCAGGUGAAGACAUUCAGUGAAGCUUGCCUGAUGGUAAGGAAACCAGCCCUAGAACUUCUGCAUUACCUGAAAAACACCAAUUUUGCUUACCCGGCUGUACGAUAUCUUCUGUAUGGAGAGAAGGGAACAGGAAAAACCCUCAGUCUUUGCCAUGUUACUCAUUUCUGUGCAAAACAGGACUGGCUGAUACUACAUAUUCCAGAUGGUAAGAACUUCCUGUUGUUUCUUCUCUCUGUUAGGUUUAGUUAUCCUGUUACCGUGGUAGCCUUGCAGCUUUAAUUUUCUGUUCUUUUUUUUUUUUUUU